Molecule: ribosomal RNA, 508 nt
Filed under: uncultured bacterium
Lineage: Bacteria
Description: partial 16S ribosomal RNA
Rfam family: Bacterial small subunit ribosomal RNA
Source: RNAcentral
GAUGAACGCUAGCUACAGGCUUAACACAUGCAAGUCGAGGGGAAACGAUAGAGAAAGCUUGCUUUUUCUAGGCGUCGACCGGCGCACGGGUGAGUAACGCGUAUCCAACCUGCCCACCACUUGGGGAUAACCUUGCGAAAGUAAGACUAAUACCCAAUGAUAUCUCUAGAAGACAUCUGAAAGGGAUUAAAGAUUUAUCGGUUAUGGAUGGGGAUGCGUCUGAUUAGCUUGUUGGCGGGGUAACGGCCCACCAAGGCGACGAUCAGUAGGGGUUCUGGGAGGAAGGUCCCCCACAUUGGAACUGAGACACGGUCCAAACUCCUACGGGAGGCAGCAGUGAGGAAUAUUGGUCAAUGGGCGAGAGCCUGAACCAGCCAAGUAGCGUGCAGGAUGACGGCCCUAUGGGUUGUAAACUGCUUUUAUAAGGGAAUAAAGCGAGUCUCGUGAGACUUUUUGCAUGUACCUUAUGAAUAAGGACCGGCUAAUUCCGUGCCAGCAGCCGCCGCAG